GAUUGGUUCAUAGAUCUGUCUUGUUCCAGUUCCUGGAUUCUUACAAGAAGGGACCAACAUCGUGGGGUUCAUCAUGAAACUUGUACUCAGCAGAUCAAUCGCUGUUGCCUGUUACCUACGUCGAUUUAACGGUAUUCAAUUCUGUUUCCUAUAUGGUACGUGGCAGAGGCAAGGGGAGGAAUGGGAUCACGCGGGAUCCACCCCGAACAAGAAGCUGGCUGAACUUCGUGCUGUGAAAGGCUGAUGGCAUUUAUGUGACUGCGGGCACAGCGGCCAGGGUUUAGUGCCAAGGAAUCUCGAAAGAUGCUGCUCUGCGGCGGCCCAUGAGCAGAAACAAGUGUGGGGGAGAGUCUGAAGGAUGGAGACCAAGGAGGUCUGUCUGGCUCACGGAAGCUUUCCCAGCACAGUUUGGCUCAGGUGGGACUAGCUCUAUCUGCUGUAAGGGAGAUACUUGGCCCAUCAGGUUUGUAAUCCAUACUUGCCUCUUAGCAGGAACAGAAAAGGAUGACAGAGUUGUUUUUGCUUUAACAAGGCG
This 535-nucleotide long non-coding RNA is filed under the name Anser brachyrhynchus (Pink-footed goose). RNAcentral describes it as "lncRNA (ENSABRG00000022174.1)". The record is from RNAcentral. Lineage: Eukaryota; Metazoa; Chordata; Aves; Anseriformes; Anatidae.